RNAcentral lists this ribosomal RNA (206 nucleotides) under uncultured bacterium. Its description in RNAcentral is "partial 16S ribosomal RNA". It matches the Rfam family "Bacterial small subunit ribosomal RNA", at positions 568 to 774 of the family's 1533-position model. The record is from RNAcentral.
CGCGUAGGCGGCUGUUCAAGUCGGGGGUGAAAUCCCGUGGCUCAACCACGGAAUGGCCUUCGAUACUGGACGGCUCGAGACCGGAAGAGGUGAGUGGAACUGCGAGUGUAGAGGUGAAAUUCGUAGAUAUUCGCAAGAACACCAGUGGCGAAGGCGGCUCACUGGUCCGGUUCUGACGCUGAGGCGCGAAAGCGUGGGAGCAAACA